AGAGUUGAUCAUGGCUCAGGAUGAACGCUAGCGGCAGGCUUAACACAUGCAAGUCGAGGGGCAGCGGGAUGUAGCAAUACAUUGCCGGCGACCGGCGGAUGGGUGCGUAACGCGUAUGCAACCUACCUUAUACAGGGGAAUAACCUUUCGAAAGGGAGACUAACACCCCAUAGUAUUGAUUUAAGGCAUCUUAGAUUAAUUAAAUAUUUAUAGGUAUAGGAUGGGCAUGCGUAUGAUUAGCUAGUUGGUAAGGUAACGGCUUACCAAGGCGACGAUCAUUAGGGGUUCUGAGAGGAAGGUCCCCCACACUGGUACUGAGACACGGACCAGACUCCUACGGGAGGCAGCAGUGAGGAAUAUUGGUCAAUGGGCGCAAGCCUGAACCAGCCAUGCCGCGUGCAAGGAAGACGGCCUUAUGGGUUGUAAACUGCUUUUACAUAAGACUAACCGUAUAUUUGCGAAUAUACCUGAAUGUAUUAUGAGAAUAAGGAUCGGCUAACUCCGUGCCAGCCGCCGC
RNAcentral lists this ribosomal RNA (517 nucleotides) under uncultured bacterium. RNAcentral describes it as "bacterial SSU rRNA". It matches the Rfam family "Bacterial small subunit ribosomal RNA", at positions 8 to 518 of the family's 1533-position model. The record is from RNAcentral.